This 468-nucleotide ribosomal RNA is filed under the name uncultured bacterium. RNAcentral describes it as "partial 16S ribosomal RNA". It matches the Rfam family "Bacterial small subunit ribosomal RNA", at positions 28 to 523 of the family's 1533-position model. The record is from RNAcentral.
GAUGAACGCUGGCGGCGUGCCUAACACAUGCAAGUCGAGCGAUUCUCUUCGGAGAAGAGCGGCGGACGGGUGAGUAACGCGUGGGUAACCUGCCCUGUACACACGGAUAACAUACCGAAAGGUAUGCUAAUACGAGAUAAUAUACUUUUAUCGCAUGGUAGAAGUAUCAAAGCUUUUGCGGUACAGGAUGGACCCGCGUCUGAUUAGCUAGUUGGUAAGGUAACGGCUUACCAAGGCGACGAUCAGUAGCCGACCUGAGAGGGUGAUCGACCACAUUGGAACUGAGACACGGUCCAAACUCCUACGGGAGGCAGCAGUGGGGAAUAUUGCACAAUGGGCGAAAGCCUGAUGCAGCAACGCCGCGUGAGCGAUGAAGGCCUUAGGGUCAUAAAGCUCUGUCCUCAAGGAAGAUAAUGACGGUACUUGAGGAGGAAGCCCCGGCUAACUACGUGCCAGCCGCCGCGGUAA